CGGCAAACAGGGAGAAGGAUUUGGAUAAAGAAGGUUGAGGGGAUAGUGCACAUGGAGGAAGCCCAUCCUUUCCCUCCACCACGUGUCCUGCUGAAGCAGAUGGUGCCGUGUGGCUCCGCCAUGCCACUGUGGUCGCCUUGUGAGCGCUGCUGCCAUAAGGAGGUGGGUUAGUGGGAGAUUUGGGGUGACAGUGUUUGGCAGGGGCUACAAAGUGAAGAUGUAGGGAGGGGAGAAAGCGCUUGGUGCCUUGGGCUGACACCAAGGCUUUGGGAGGCGACUCCCUGCUGGUACUGCAGUGAGAGAGGAGCAGGGGAGCAACCAGACGAGCAAAGACAGCCGCCACCUCACACUGGGUGAUGACUGAACUAACUCCAUCUUGCACACUAAUAAUACGGCAUCAGUGGCUCUUGGUGCUGAGCUUGCAGACCACGGGCAUCACUAACUCUAUUUUGUGCUCAGAAUCAUACAUUCCUUAUCAAAAGUAUAAAAGUGUCAUAUUUCUUCACUCUUUUCCGGGCUUUACUCAGACUGCACUCCAGAUCUUUUCCAUAAAAAACUUUUUAGGAGCAGUCUGACAGAGACAGAGCUGUGUUUGAGGUAUUGGUUUGUUGGUUUGAUGUAUCUGUUAUUCGUAUGGACCACAAAGAAAGUGGAUGUGAUCUUUUCCUUCAAAACUGCCUUGUGAAUACAAUUCUAAAAUAAACUAUAAAAACUAUCACACCAUA
This is a long non-coding RNA of Xiphophorus couchianus (Monterrey platyfish), 725 nucleotides long. RefSeq lists it as uncharacterized. The record is from RefSeq and is a predicted model, not a curated record. The transcript has 2 exons. NCBI's taxonomy places the organism in Eukaryota, Metazoa, Chordata, Actinopteri, Cyprinodontiformes, Poeciliidae.